GGCAGCUUGGCCGAGUGGUUAUGGCGCAGGUUUUAGGCCUCUAUGGCAGAUUCACCUGUUUCUUUGAUUCGUGGGUUCGAAUCCCACAGCUGUCA
RNAcentral lists this transfer RNA (95 nucleotides) under Dactylellina haptotyla CBS 200.50. It matches the Rfam family "tRNA". From Rfam's summary of the family: Transfer RNA (tRNA) molecules are approximately 80 nucleotides in length. The record is from Rfam by way of RNAcentral. Lineage: Eukaryota; Fungi; Ascomycota; Orbiliomycetes; Orbiliales; Orbiliaceae.